GAUGAACGCUGGCAGAAUGCUUAACACAUGCAAGUCAACUUGAACUUCGGUUUGGGUGGCGGACGGGUGAGUAACGCGUAAAGAACUUGCCUCACAGCUAGGGACAACAUUUGGAAACGAAUGCUAAUACCUGAUAUUAUGAUUUUAGGGCAUCCUAGAAUUAUGAAAGCUAUAUGCGCUGUGAGAGAGCUUUGUGUCCCAUUAGCUAGUUGGAGAGGUAACGGCUCACCAAGGCGAUGAUGGGUAGCCGGCCUGAGAGGGUGAACGGCCACAAGGGGACUGAGACACGGCCCUUACUCCUACGGGAGGCAGCAGUGGGGAAUAUUGGACAAUGGACCAAGAGUCUGAUCCAGCAAUUCUGUGUGCACGAUGAAGUUUUUCGGAAUGUAAAGUGCUUUCAGUUGGGAAGAAAAAAAUGACGGUACCAACAGAAGAAGUGACGGCUAAAUACGUG
This 454-nucleotide ribosomal RNA is filed under the name uncultured bacterium. Its description in RNAcentral is "partial 16S ribosomal RNA". It matches the Rfam family "Bacterial small subunit ribosomal RNA", at positions 28 to 507 of the family's 1533-position model. The record is from RNAcentral.